Molecule: ribosomal RNA, 793 nt
Filed under: uncultured archaeon
Lineage: Archaea
Description: bacterial SSU rRNA
Rfam family: Archaeal small subunit ribosomal RNA
Source: RNAcentral
ACGGCUCAGUAACACGUGGACAACCUACCCUUAGGUCAGGAAUAAACCCGGGAAACUGGGUAUAAUACCCGAUAGAUCUCGAUUGCUGGAAUGCAUCGAGCUCGAAAGCUCCGGCGCCUAAGGAUGGGUCUGCGGCCUAUCAGGUAGUAGUGGGUGUAGCGUACCUACUAGCCUACGACGGGUACGGGUUGUGAGAGCAAGAGCCCGGAGAUGGAUUCUGAGACACGAAUCCAGGCCCUACGGGGUGCAGCAGGCGCGAAAACUUUACAAUGCUGGCAACAGCGAUAAGGGGACCUCGAGUGCCAGGUUACAAAUCUGGCUGUCGUGAUGCCUAAAAAGCAUUGCAUAGCAAGGGCCGGGCAAGACCGGUGCCAGCCGCCGCGGUAACACCGGCGGCUCGAGUGGUAACCGUUAUUAUUGGGUCUAAAGGGUCUGUAGCCGGCCGGAUAAGUCUCUUGGGAAAUCCAGCAGCUCAACUGUUGGGCUUUCAGGAGAUACUGUCUGGCUCGAGGCCGGGAGAGGUGAGAGGUACUUCAGGGGUAGGGGUGAAAUCUUAUAAUCCCGGGAAGACCACCAGUGGCGAAGGCUGUCUGCUAGAACGCGCCCGACGGUGAGGGAUGAAAGCUGGGGGAGCGAACCGGAUUAGAUACCCGGGUAGUCCCAGCUGUAAACUAUGCAGGCUAGGUGUUUGGGCGGCCACGUGCCGCUCUAGUGCCGCAGGGAAGCUGUUAAGCCUGCCGCCUGGGGAGUACGGUCGCAAGAUUGAAACUUAAAGGAAUUGGCGGGGGAGCAC